AAAGUCGUAACAAGGUUUCCGUAGGUGAACCUGCGGAAGGAUCAUUAACAAAUUCCUUUCAUCGACCCUUUGUGAACUGGCGAGCGACUGCUUGCUGCUUCGGCAGCUUGUGGGAACUCGUGCGACGGCAGCGCAGCAAUGCAUAACUGCAUAGCCAGCAGCCUCGCAAUUAUAAACGCUUAAAUGUUUGACUAAGUAAACACAAUAACCAAGAACAACUUUUAACAAUGGAUCUCUUGGCUCUU
This 245-nucleotide unclassified non-coding RNA is filed under the name Basidiomycota sp. RNAcentral describes it as "partial contains small subunit ribosomal RNA, internal transcribed spacer 1, and 5.8S ribosomal RNA". The stretch from base 1 to 47 matches the Rfam family "Eukaryotic small subunit ribosomal RNA", at positions 1785 to 1831 of the family's 1831-position model. The record is from RNAcentral. Lineage: Eukaryota; Fungi; Basidiomycota.